CCUACGGUGGGCUGCAGUGGGGAAUAUUGCACAAUGGGGGAAACCCUGAUGCAGCGACGCCGCGUGAGUGAAGAAGUAUUUCGGUAUGUAAAGCUCUAUCAGCAGGGAAGAAAAUGAUGGUACCUGAUUAAGAAGCCUCGGCUAACUACGAGCCAGCAGCCGCGGUAAUACGUAGGGGGCAAGCGUCAUACGGAUUUACUGGGUGGAAAGGGAGAGUAGACGGCAGCACAAGUCUGUAGUGAAAUGCUGGGGCUUAACCCCGGAACUGCUUUGGAAACUGUGCAGCUAGAGUGCAGGAGAGGCAAGUGGAAUUCCUAGUGUAGCGGUGAAAUGCGUAGAUAUUAGGAGGAACUCCAGUGGCGAAGGCAGCUUACUGGACUGUAACUGACGUUGAGGCUCGAAAGCGUGGGGAGCAAACAGGAUUAGAUACCCUUGUAGUC
This 440-nucleotide ribosomal RNA is filed under the name uncultured bacterium. RNAcentral's name for it is "partial 16S ribosomal RNA". It matches the Rfam family "Bacterial small subunit ribosomal RNA", at positions 338 to 795 of the family's 1533-position model. The record is from RNAcentral.